RNAcentral lists this ribosomal RNA (705 nucleotides) under Limosilactobacillus fermentum. RNAcentral describes it as "bacterial SSU rRNA". It matches the Rfam family "Bacterial small subunit ribosomal RNA", at positions 58 to 705 of the family's 1533-position model. Lineage: Bacteria; Bacillati; Bacillota; Bacilli; Lactobacillales; Lactobacillaceae. The record is from RNAcentral.
CAUGUUAAGUACUUGGAGGUGAAGAGACAAGUCGUACAGGUAACCGACGUUGAAUGCUGUGCUUGCACUGAUUUCAGAUGAAGGGGUGGGGAACUGGUGAGUAACACGUGGGAAAUCUGCCGGGAAGCAGGAGAUAACACUUGGAAACAGGUGCUAAUACCGAAUAACAACAAAAUCCGCAUGGAUUUUGUUUGAAACGUGGCUUCCGCUAUCACUUCUGGAUGAUCCCGCGGCUUAUUAGUUAGUUGGUGAGGUAAAGGCCCACCAAUACGAUGAUACGUAGCCGACCUGAGAGGGUAAUCGGCCACUUUGGGACUGACACACCGCCCAAACUCCUACGGGAGGCAGCAUUAGGGAAUCUUCCACAAUGGACGAAAGUCUGAUGGAGCAAUGCCGCGUGAGUGAAGAAGGGUUUCAGCUCGUAAAACUCUGUUGUUAAAGAAUAACACCUUUGAGAUUAACUGUUCAAGGGUUUACAGUAUUUAACCAGAAAGCCACAGCUCACUACGUGCCACCCGUCGCGUUAAUACAAAAGUGGCAAGCGUUGUCCUGAUUUAUUGGCCGUAAAGCGCGCGCAGGUUGUUUUUUGAAUCUGAUGUGAAAGCCUUCGGCAUAACCAGAAAAGUGCAUCAGAACUGGGGACUUAAAUGCAUAAAAGGACUUGGACUCCUUGUGGAGCGGGGGAAUGCGUAGAUAUAUGGACGA